Molecule: long non-coding RNA, 417 nt
Filed under: Homo sapiens (human)
Lineage: Eukaryota; Metazoa; Chordata; Mammalia; Primates; Hominidae
Description: HSALNT0206458
Source: RNAcentral
GAUUUCACCUUCAGUAUACUGCUGGAGGGCCAGAACAAGGAGUUAAUGAGAACAGCAUCUAUGAGGCGUGCCAUGACUGUUGGGUGGAGCAGAGAGGGCAGUUUUUGCCAUAAAAAAAUACAACAGCUGGUUGGGCAUGGUGGCUCAUGCUUGUAAUCCCAGCACUUACGGAGGCCGAGGAGGGCGGAUCACCCAAGGUCAGGAGUUCGAGACCAGCCUGGCCAACAUAGUAAAACCCCGUCUCUACUAAAAAUACAAAAAUUAACCGUGUUUGGUGGCACUCACCUAUAGUCACAGCAACUCAGGAGGCUGAGGCAGCAGAACUGCUUGAACCCGGCAGGCGGAGGUUGCAAGUGAGUCGAGUCGCGCCACUGCACUCUAGCCUGGCCAGCAGAGCGAGACUCCCUCUCCAAAAAA